AGAGGCGAUGCGACGGUGUUAGGGUUUGUGCCGCCGCCCCGUCCGCUCCCCCUCCGUUGCCGGCCACAGGCAAUAUCACGCCGCCGCCUGAUUUCUUAUCUCCCUCGCCCCCAGCCCCCUACUCACACACCCUCCACGCCUCCUCCACGACCCCCUCGGCGAUGGCGGGCGACGGCGGCCGGAGGCCACAUCUGCUGAGGCCCUUGUUGGAGCUUCGGAACGAGGAGCCUGUCCAGGCGAAUACUUCGAAGGCUUUGAGAGAGAGCUCGCGGCCUCUCUUCAUGCACAUCUCGAUCAGUUCUGAUGGCCGAAGAAGCUUGCUUGUAUGUUUGCCCUGUGCAUAUUCUGGAUCAUGCUGAACAAUCUCUUCCUGUAAAGAAAAGGUAAAAAUUAUUUCGUCAGCUAUUCAUUCUGACUUCCCUUAGAAAUGAUAAGCCAUCCACCUAGAUGUCAUCAAGCAAGUUAUCCUAAAUAUGGAAUGCUUCAAGACAUGAUGGGCAGAGAGGUAGAUCCAUGAUCCACCUCUGGGUAGAUUUUGGGUUACUAGCCCUACCAACAACGGAAUUGCAUGUAAAGGCGAGACAAUGGAAGAACAUGACUGGUUAACACUAACGUCCACAUAAGACUAUGCAAUAGCUACAAGUCCUAAGCAUGUGAAAAUUUCGUGAUGGAGAGAAUCAUAGAAUUCGUCGCAUUUACUUAGCACUUGAUAGACUACUUUGUCCAUCUCUGGAAGCCAGUUUUACAUAAACCUGUAUAAUAUGUGGUUACAUCAAACAUGACAUAGCUGGAGGUAUAGAAGGAAAGUAUACCAGAAGAAAUAGUUAACCUGCUGUUGCAGCAAUUUUAGAGAGAUAGAGGAGACGUCUUCUUUCAACAAAGAACAUCGACUUUCUGGUGCUUGUUAGGUCAACAUCUUCUCCCGGACUUGAAAGCAGAGCACAGGUAUGAAGAGUCUCUGAAGCAGUUGAGAACUGAUUUAAACAUAUCUCGUGAAGCCACAAAAGAUCGCUGCGGUCUUUCAGAAAAUUAGCUAGCUCUUCCUGGAAUUCUUCUCCCAGCCUUAACAACUUAGCGUGGUGCCGGCUGUUGAUUAGUUGUUUAAAAACGUAGAAACUGAAUCCCCCAUGAGAUCCUACACUAUCAUGCUGCAACACAAGAUCAAUAUAAGAACCGUGUUGCAUAACACUUUUUUGGUUGAAAGUGAAUAAUUAUAUGCUAGGUCACUGAAAACAUAUACAACAAGGCAUAUUCCAAGAAAAUUUGGGGAUAUGAUCAUGGGAUUUUACCAUAAGAUUGCGGAGGAGAACCGUAUCACUGAUAUCAUAGCAAAUCUGCCACAAAGUUUGGUACCCUUCAUGCCGUUUAGCUGUUGCCAAAAUAGGAGAAGUGACCUCUCUAAAUAUAGAUUCUUUCAGAUCAGGAUUGUCAUUGCCUUCUCUUGACUCCUGGUAGAUAUGGGCAUGUAUUAUGUAAUACCAUAUUAAAAUCAAGUAAAACCAUAGAGCCAACAUUGACAAUGUUUAUAAAAUGAUACUUCCUCCAUGCAGAAUUACUUGUCGCUCAAAUGGAUGUAUCUAGAGGUAUUUCAGUGCUAGAUACAUCCAUUUAAGCGACACGUAAUUCCAGAUGGAGGGAGUACAUGUUAAGUAUGAACGCAUUAUGUCAAGAAACUGUCAACAACAGAUGGUCAAUCCAGAAAAAUGUUGAGUUAAUUUAAUUUAAUUGUGCAAAUAGAGCUUUGCCAUGGUUCUUUUUUAUUUGGAAUGUCAUUCUAGCUGAAACUGCCCUUUGUUACUUGAUGUCAAGCUAUCAGCCACUAUGUUAAAGUAUACAAACUUACAUUCAUGUCAGAUGACCAAAACAUACACGUGCUAUGAUCAGAGAUUAUAACCGCAGGAAUGAUGGUAUUGGCACUCAUUUGCACGUUUACGGAUUCACAUAGGGGGUGAUAUUGAUAUGCUUUGUCAAAAGAACUCCUAGGUACCAAAGUUGGAUCCCUUAUGAUAAAUUGAUACAAUAUGCAAAUGUUGAGCCUCCUGUAUUGUGAGAUUUUCAUAAAAUUGCUAUACAGGGUGGCUCGGUGCUAUACCGUCGAUUGGUGAGUCGUCGCCUACGGUGCGUUGAGGCCACACGUUGAGGUCGCCGUGAACUCUUGAGGGUGCACGGAUGAUAUGCAAAUGAGUGAUUCAAUCUUCUGUUGCCAACCACAUGGGUAUUUCAAAAUCCAUGCAUAUUAUGACAAGCCCCCAAGCAUCUAUCAUAAAUCUACUUAAAGGGCAGUCGAGGGGACCUGUUUUGAAUGAGGUUAUAUGCAAUAAAGUUUUUUAAUUCACAUGUUGAAAGACUUUUUGAAUUAUCUCAUACUAGCGCAUUGCAUGUUCUAUGUGUUUAAACCAGGGAUGAAAAGCACUUUGUCCAUUUGACUGAACUUUAAAACCGCUUUGUUUAAAUCAGUGUAAGAUGCACCGCGAUGAUGACAUGGACGGUAUAUGGAGCAGGG
Molecule: long non-coding RNA, 2503 nt
Filed under: Hordeum vulgare
Lineage: Eukaryota; Viridiplantae; Streptophyta; Magnoliopsida; Poales; Poaceae
Description: long non-coding RNA (HVUL_LNC016746)
Rfam family: MIR1120/MIR1122 microRNA precursor family (bases 1531-1645)
Source: RNAcentral